AUCGCUUCUCGGCCUUUUGCUAAGAUCAAGUGUAGUAUCUGUUCUUAUCAGUUUAAUAUCUGAUACGUCCCCCAUCGGGGGACUACAUAUUAAAUGGAUUUUUCGAACAGGGAGUCGGAAAUGGGGCUUGCUCCGUCCGCUCCACGCAUCGACCCAGGUAUUGCAGUACCUCCGGGAACGGUGCAACACUU
Molecule: small nuclear RNA, 191 nt
Filed under: Oncorhynchus mykiss (rainbow trout)
Lineage: Eukaryota; Metazoa; Chordata; Actinopteri; Salmoniformes; Salmonidae
Description: U2 spliceosomal RNA (ENSOMYG00000073298.1)
Rfam family: U2 spliceosomal RNA
About the family: U2 is a small nuclear RNA (snRNA) component of the spliceosome (involved in pre-mRNA splicing). Complementary binding between U2 snRNA (in an area lying towards the 5' end but 3' to hairpin I) and the branchpoint sequence (BPS) of the intron results the bulging out of an unpaired adenosine, on the BPS, which initiates a nucleophilic attack at the intronic 5' splice site, thus starting the first of two transesterification reactions that mediate splicing.
Source: RNAcentral